Molecule: ribosomal RNA, 253 nt
Filed under: uncultured bacterium
Lineage: Bacteria
Description: partial 16S ribosomal RNA
Rfam family: Bacterial small subunit ribosomal RNA
Source: RNAcentral
UACGUAGGGUGCAAGCGUUGUCCGGAUUUAUUGGGCGUAAAGAGCUCGUAGGCGGUCUGUUGCGUCGGCUGUGAAAACCCGGGGCUCAACCCCGGGCCUGCAGCCGAUACGGGCAGACUAGAGUUCGGCAGGGGAGACUGGAAUUCCUGGUGUAGCGGUGAAAUGCGCAGAUAUCAGGAGGAACACCGGUGGCGAAGGCGGGUCUCUGGGCCGAUACUGACGCUGAGGAGCGAAAGCGUGGGGAGCAAACAGG